CUCGUUCCGAACGGACCUGGGGUAGGGCAAGGAGCGCUCCUCUUUUGCUACCUCUCUGCUCUCCGAUCUUCUCUAACGGUGCUAAUGGUGGCCGGCGAGUCUUGAUGGUGGCUGGUGAGGCCAAUCGAGGCUGAUUGUCUAACUGCGGAAGAUAGCAAUAGGUUCCUCUUCCGCAGCAGCACUGGAUCAGCUGUAAGAUGGCGCACCGCCAGGUUAAGAGGCGUCAUCAGCCACAAGCACUCCGUACCUUCGGUGCCACCUGCUCUGCGUUGUUACAAACUUUGUCAGCCACCCAUAUAUGACAGGUUGGACUCCAGGGGACCUGGAGAUCUCACCUCCUGCAUAUCGUGUGUUUGUUGAAACAUCAAAUAUAGCUAUGUAAUACGCUCUCUCUCUCUCUCUCUCUUAUUAUUUUAUAGUUUGGAUUCGGGUUGAAAGAAUCUAUGUCACUGGUGUCCUCCCACUAAUUGGUUGCCUUUAUCUUAUAAAGGAA
Long non-coding RNA from Elaeis guineensis (African oil palm), 493 nucleotides. RefSeq lists it as uncharacterized. The record is from RefSeq and is a predicted model, not a curated record. Lineage: Eukaryota; Viridiplantae; Streptophyta; Magnoliopsida; Arecales; Arecaceae.